AUGGCAACCCUUCGAGUCGACGAAAUUCAUAAAAUUCUCCGCGAACGUAUUGAACAAUAUAAUAGGAAAGUAGGGAUUGAGAAUAUAGGUCGCGUAGUUCAAGUGGGGGAUGGGAUUGCUCGUAUUAUAGGUCUUGGUGAAAUAAUGUCAGGUGAAUUAGUCGAAUUUGCAGAAGGUACUAGGGGUAUUGCUCUGAAUUUGGAAUCCAAAAAUGUUGGGAUUGUAUUAAUGGGCGAUGGGUUGAUGAUACAAGAGGGAAGUUUUGUAAAAGCAACAGGAAGAAGUGCUCAGAUACCCGUGAGUGAGGCUUACUUGGGUCGUGUUGUAAAUGCUCUGGCUAAACCUAUUGAUGGGAAAGGCGAAAUUAUAGCUUCCGAAUCUCGCUUAAUUGAAUCUCCUGCUCCAAGUAUAAUUUCCAGGCGUUCCGUAUACGAACCUCUUCAAACAGGGCUUAUUGCUAUCGAUUCGAUGAUCCCUAUAGGGCGCGGUCAGCGAGAGUUAAUUAUUGGGGACAGACAGACUGGCAAAACAGCAGUAGCCACAGAUACAAUUCUCAAUCAAAAAGGCCAAGGUGUAAUAUGUGUUUAUGUAGCUAUCGGUCAAAGGGCAUCCUCCGUAGCUCAAGUAGUAACUACUUUCCACGAGGAGGGGGCUAUGGAAUACACUAUUGUAGUAGCUGAAAUGGCGGAUUCACCUGCUACAUUACAAUACCUCGCUCCUUAUACGGGAGCAGCCCUGGCUGAGUAUUUUAUGUACCGCGAACGGCAUACUUUAAUAAUUUAUGAUGAUCUCUCCAAACAGGCACAAGCUUAUCGCCAAAUGUCCCUUCUAUUAAGAAGACCUCCCGGCCGUGAGGCUUAUCCAGGGGAUGUUUUUUAUUUGCAUUCACGCCUUUUAGAAAGAGCCGCUAAAUUAAAUUCUCUUUUAGGCGAAGGAAGUAUGACCGCUUUACCAAUAGUUCAGACUCAAUCUGGAGACGUUUCCGCCUAUAUUCCUACUAAUGUAAUCUCCAUUACAGAUGGACAAAUAUUCUUAUCUGCGGAUCUAUUCAAUGCCGGAAUUCGACCCGCUAUUAAUGUGGGUAUUUCUGUUUCCAGAGUAGGAUCCGCGGCUCAAAUUAAAGCCAUGAAACAAGUAGCUGGCAAAUCAAAAUUGGAACUAGCGCAAUUCGCAGAGUUACAAGCCUUUGCACAAUUCGCCUCUGCUCUCGAUAAAACAAGUCAGAAUCAAUUGGCAAGGGGUCGACGAUUAAGGGAAUUUCUUAAAUAA
This 1269-nucleotide ribosomal RNA is filed under the name Triticum aestivum (bread wheat). RNAcentral describes it as "partial small subunit ribosomal RNA". The record is from RNAcentral. Lineage: Eukaryota; Viridiplantae; Streptophyta; Magnoliopsida; Poales; Poaceae.